This is a non-coding RNA of Oryza sativa Japonica Group (Japanese rice), 334 nucleotides long. NCBI's taxonomy places the organism in Eukaryota, Viridiplantae, Streptophyta, Magnoliopsida, Poales, Poaceae. The record is from RefSeq and is a predicted model, not a curated record.
GCUCCUGCAAUGCAAUGGUGGUCACUGGUCAGGACAAAACAUAUAAAUAGCUGUAACUGCAGAAACCAUAAGGAGCUGAAAUAAGCUGACCUGAAGAGGAAGUAUAGUGUCAGCAGCAAAGAGCGUCACCUUUGCCAGCUUAACAUCAUUAUGGGAGCUCAAGACACACUGGACAAAAAGGUGGAUCUGAAUCAUUCUCCGCAUGAAGAGACGGCAGAUGCAUGUCAGAGCCAGCCCUUUUCUGCAGAAAUAAAGGUAGCUGGUAGUCAGGAAAUUGUGCAAAGCAGCAUUUAUUGAUAUCUCAACAUGAAUGAAAACAUAAGUAUUUACAGUA